RNAcentral lists this ribosomal RNA (253 nucleotides) under uncultured bacterium. RNAcentral describes it as "partial 16S ribosomal RNA". It matches the Rfam family "Bacterial small subunit ribosomal RNA", at positions 524 to 776 of the family's 1533-position model. The record is from RNAcentral.
UACGUAGGGUGCGAGCGUUAAUCGGAAUUACUGGGCGUAAAGCGUGCGCAGGCGGUUUUGUAAGCCAGAUGGGAAAUCCCCGGGCUUAACCUGGGAAUGGCAUUUGGGACUGCAAGGCUGGAGUUUGGCAGGGGAGACUGGAAUUCCUGGUGUAGCAGUGAAAUGCGUAGAUAUCAGGAGGAAUACCGAUGGCGAAGGCAGGUCUCUGGGCUAUAACUGACGCUCAUGCACGAAAGCGUGGGGAGCAAACAGG